CUACUGGCAUCGCGAGGUGCCGGGAUGGGUUGGCAGAAGUCAGCAGAGGUCGUAGUAGUCACUGCAAGCGGAGUGGCGAAGGGC
This is a non-coding RNA of Betaproteobacteria bacterium, 84 nucleotides long. The record is from Rfam. NCBI's taxonomy places the organism in Bacteria, Pseudomonadati, Pseudomonadota, Betaproteobacteria.